AGAGUUUGAUCAUGGCUCAGGACGAACGCUGGCGGCGUGCUUAACACAUGCAAGUCGAACGGAAAGUGCCCAGCUUGCUGGGUGACUCGAGUGGCGAACGGGUGAGUAACACGUGGGUGAUCUGCCCUGCACUUUGGGAUAAGCCUGGGAAACUGGGUCUAAUACCGAAUAUUCCUUGCUGGUCGCAUGGCCUGGUGGGGGAAAGCUUUUGCGGUGUGGGAUGGGCCCGCGGCCUAUCAGCUUGUUGGUGGGGUGAUGGCCUACUAAGGCGACGACGGGUAGCCGGCCUGAGAGGGUGUCCGGCCACACUGGGACUGAGAUACGGCCCAGACUCCUACGGGAGGCAGCAGUGGGGAAUAUUGCACAAUGGGCGCAAGCCUGAUGCAGCGACGCCGCGUGAGGAAUGACGGCCUUCGGGUUGUAAACCUCUUUCAACGCCGACGAAGCGUAAGUGACGGUAGGCGUAGAAGAAGCACCGGCCAACUACGUGCCAGCAGCCGCGGUAAUACGUAGGGUGCGAGCGUUGUCCGGAAUUACUGGGCGUAAAGAGCUCGUAGGUGGUUUGUCGCGUUGUUCGUGAAAACCGGGGGCUUAACCCUCGGCGUGCGGGCGAUACGGGCAGACUGGAGUACUGCAGGGGAGACUGGAAUUCCUGGUGUAGCGGUGGAAUGCGCAGAUAUCAGGAGGAACACCGGUGGCGAAGGCGGGUCUCUGGGCAGUAACUGACGCUGAGGAGCGAAAGCGUGGGGAGCGAACAGGAUUAGAUACCCUAGUAGUCC
Molecule: ribosomal RNA, 779 nt
Filed under: uncultured bacterium
Lineage: Bacteria
Description: bacterial SSU rRNA
Rfam family: Bacterial small subunit ribosomal RNA
Source: RNAcentral